Molecule: long non-coding RNA, 327 nt
Organism: Branchiostoma belcheri (Belcher's lancelet)
Lineage: Eukaryota; Metazoa; Chordata; Leptocardii; Amphioxiformes; Branchiostomatidae
Exons: 3
Source: RefSeq, a predicted model, not a curated record
UAGGAGCGCCCCUGUGAGCCACCAGUCGUCGUUUGAGCGUGGCGGUGACGGUGAGCCGACCAGACAGGCGUCGCUGGAGGACGGCAGGGACAGAAGGCCUACUGUCCUGGCAGGAGACGGAGAGGGUUCGACCAGACCUAAGAAGGUGACUCUGGAGUACUGCGACAGCGAGAGUUCUACAGAGGAGGUUUCACAGAGCGCCGGCAGUGCAACAACCAUAGAGGAAACCAAGAAGAGAAAAACUGCCACAGUGCUGGUACUGCACCUGUCAGAUGUUGGGUUGGAAUUGUCGAAUCACCAGCGGGACAACUUCACCAAACUAUAGGG